This 549-nucleotide small RNA is filed under the name Pongo abelii (Sumatran orangutan). RNAcentral describes it as "processed transcript". Lineage: Eukaryota; Metazoa; Chordata; Mammalia; Primates; Hominidae. The record is from RNAcentral.
AGAGCCUCCAGGAAGGAAUGCAGUCUGCUAACACCUUCCUGUUGUUCCAGGGAGACCCAUACAGACAUAUGGCCUGCAGAAUUGUCCUAAACUGACUCUGGGGACUAAAGAAAAAAAGUAUAACUUAUCAUGGAAGUUGCUUAAGUGCAAAAUUAAUUAGGUCAGGGGAGGAUUGGAUAUGGAGAUUAAACUGUCAUGCUUGGAUCUGGAUGAAGAAAAAGAGGGGACUGUGUUGUUAGGUGGAGGAUGGCCUGCAUUCCUGCCUUGUUCCAACGCUUGCUAGCAAGCUGACUUCGGGAAGAUUAGGUAACUCAUCUCAGUUUCCUCAUCUGUAAUGCAAAGGGCACCAUCCAAAAGAAAAUGGCCAUGUUCUUCCUGAUGAGAAAUGUAGGAUACCGGAUUGCUAGCAUCCUUUCAAGUAGCCCAUUAUAUCCAUGUCUCAGAGAAACCAUACACACAGCAUCAUCUCUACCCAUAAAAGGUGGCAUUCUGCAAGACUGAGAAGAUGCCCACCUCCAUUCCCAGAGUCCAGGCCUUCAUUAACUCACA